CAAAUUUUCUUUACCUUUGACUUCAAAGCCUUUGGGUUGCUCCAUGUAUAUCUCCUCUUCUAAAUUGCCAUGGAGAAAUUCAGUUUUAAUGUCUAACUGCUCGAGCUCAAGAUCCAUGCUUGCUACCAUACCAAGGAUAACUCGAAUGGAAGUCAUCUUCACCACCAGUGAGAAAAUCUCAUCAAAGUCAACUCCUUUCUUUUGACCAAAACCUUUGACAACCAAAUGAGCCUUGUACAUUGUCAUGUUGUCGUCCCUUUUCAAUUUGAACACCCACUUGUUUUUCAAUGCUUUUCUGCCCUUUGGAAGCUCCACUAGCUCAUAAGUAUCAUUCUUUAAUAAGGAAUCCAUCUCUGACUCCAUUGCCUUCAUCCAUUUAUCACUGUCGUUAUAAGCUCUGGCCUCCUCAUAAGUUUCGGGUUCUCCAUAAUUAGUCAACAUGAUAUACUCUGAUGAAGAAUACUUGGUAGAUGGUAUUCGACUUCUGCUGAAUCUUCUGACCUGGUCUUCAUUCUCUUGCGGGGCUAGAGGCUCCCCUUGAUUGGGUUUUCCUUGAAUCUGCUAUUCUUGACUAGGCUCCUCCUGAUCAGCAAUCUCAUGGUCUGGCUCAUCUUGAUCAGGCUCUCCCUGAUCAGCAUUAUCUGGUUCUGCAGGCACUUCAUUUGCAGCUGCUUCAGGGAUGUCAUCGUGACUUUCUUCAUUUGAAGCUAAUGGAUCAACUCCUCUGACUACGCCAUCUAGUUGUGCCUCUUCAUCCGAAUCCCCAAUUGUUUGAUCUUCAUAAAAGACCACGUCUCUACUUCGGAUAAACUUCUUCUGGUAUGGGUCCCAUAAUCUGUAACCAAAAUCUUCACCGCCAUAACCAAGAAAGAUGCACGGUGUAGCUUUGUAGUCUAACUUCGAUCUCUGCUCUUUGGGCACAUGCACAAAAGCUUUGCAACCAAACACCUUCAAAUAAGAGUCACAUCAUUACCAGUCCAUACUCUCUCUGGAACAUCAAGACCUAAUGGUACUGAUGGAGAUCGAUUGAUCAAAUAGUAGGUUGUCCUUAUAGCUUCACCUCAGAACUGCUUAGAUAACUUUGCAGUCCUUAGCAUACACCUGACUUUCUCCAUGAUGGUUCAGUUCAUUCUUUCAGUAACACCGUUAUGUUGUGGAGUUCCAGGAACUAUCUUCUCAUGACAUAUGCCAUGUUUCACACAAUACUCUCUAAACUGGUGAGAUGUGUACUCGCCGCCGUUGUCGCUACGAAGGCACUUGAGAGGUUUCCCAAUUUCCCUCUCCACCAUGGCAUGAAACUCCUGGAAUGUUUGAAACACCUGGUCUUUGGAUUUCAACAAAUACACCCAGACCUUUUGUGAAGCAUCAUCAAUAUACGUAACAAAAUAUUUAUUUCUUCCAAGUGACUCGACUUCCAUGGGACCACACACAUCUGAAUAAACAAGAUCUAACAAAUUUCCUUUCUUUGUAGAUGGAACAGAAAAACUAAUUCUUCUUUGUUUUCCAAAUAAACAAUGCUCACAAGAGUUUAACAACGUACCUUUGGCAAAGGGAAUGUGAGACUUCUUUGCCAAAAUUUAUAGGCCUUUCUCGCUCAUGUGGCCUAGCCUCUUAUGCCACAAGUCUAGAGAUAAGUCCUCCACAGCAUUCAACUCAUCUUUCAAAACCUUGGCAUUUGACCGGUACAACGUACAACAAAGUCGUGCUCUUGCUACCACCAUUAAGCCUUUAGUAAGCUUCAAUUUUCCUUCGCCAAUAUGGUGAUAAUAACCUUGUUGAUCAAGGGUACCGAUGGAUAUCAGAUUGAGACGUAUAUCAAGAAUAUGUCUCACAUCUUUCAACAUCAACUGGCAACCGAGAGUAGUUCUUAGGCAAAUAUCACCAAUUCCAAGAAUUUUGGAAUAGCUUUCAUUCCCCAUCUUCACUAUGCCAAAGUCACCUUCUUUGUAUGUACUAAAGAACUCCCGUUUGGACGUAGCAUGGAAGGAAGCUCCAUUGUCAAAGAUCCAUUCAAUGUCUCCGUCAAAGUUGCCCAUAUGCAGGCAUUCACCAACAGACAAUAUUUCUGGUACAUCACCACAUAUGACAGCAGUGGUAUUGCCAGUAUCAUCUUUUUUCUCAUUGUUUCCUUCCUUUUGCUCUCUCUUCCAAACUCGACAGUUUUCUUCAUAUGGCCUUCUUUGCCACAAUGGUGGCAUGCACCCCUGAACCUUGACUUGGAUCAGCUAUGACUCUUGCCAUAACCUCUAGGCCCUCUGCUCUUGCUUCUUCCGCGGUUCUCUGUGACAAAUACUUGGCUACUAUCUAUGCCAGAAGUCUUUCUCCUUGUUUCUACAUUGAGCAUGCUAUUUUUAACAUUAUCAAGAGUAAGAACACCAUUAGAAGCAGAGUUACUUACACUCACCAUAAAGGUCUCCCAACUGUUUGGCAAGGAUCCAAGUAGCAAUAACGCUUGUAGCUCGUCCUCAAUCGUCAUUUUCAUAGUAGCCAAUUGGUUGAUGAUAUUUUGGAAAUUGUUCAAGUGUUUUGCUACACUUAAACCAUCCUUGUACUUCACAUUGAUGAGCUCUUUGAUCAAGAAGGCUUUUUGGGCUUCUUCUCGAACAAAGACUCAAGUUUCGUCCAAAACUCGCGAGCAUUGGUUUCAUUAGACACAUGGUGAAAAACACUAUCAUCCACCCAUUGUCUAAUUGUGCCAAUAGCCUUACGAUUCAUUCUACACUCCUCAGAAGUGUUUCCUAAUAUAGAAAAUUUAGAGUGUAGAAUGAGAUUUUUGGAGUACUAAUAACAAUUCCCUAUAUAUAUAUGGGAGAUUAUAUUCACACACCCCAAAUUACUUCCACACCCUUUUAAUUUUUUAAUAUUUUUCUAUCAAGUGUUAAUGGUGUGUAGAAAAUAUUAAAAAAUUUAAAAGGUGUGGGAGAAGUAAUUUGGGGUGUGUGAAAAUAAUCUCUCUCUAUAUAUAUAUUUCACAUUUUUGGGUGUUGGGUUCCAAUAAAAAAUUUUUUUUUAAUGAGAUCUUAUAUUUAUAUAUCUACUUAUUCGAGUAGAAUUUCAUUUACGUAUGAUGAAAAUAUAAAAUGGGAUGUAAAUAUAGUUUUUACAUCUCAAAUAUACAUCUUCCAAUUGCAAACAAUCUUAUGAAUUAAGGAUAUCUCAACCAUAAACUAGACUUGUAAGUUGAGCCGGGCUGACAUAAACUUACAUUCGUGGUCUACCAAUCAAAAUGUCAUGCUUAUACACAUAUAUCUUGAGAUAAUUUAAAAUGCAUGUAAUUAUGUUUAACCAAAUGACUUCUAGGCAGGUAUAUUCAUAAACUUUCUACCUAAAACGAUCUUUGACUAAAAGAAUACCACUAUUAGAACCUGAUGCUAACUCAAAUAAGAUCCUUCUAGGCUUCUAGCUACUAUAUGCAAGUAUUGAUGAUCUCACCAAAAAUUUGUGCAAAUUUCAGAAAGCUAAUUCUCAACUUAGAAAAUGAAACGAAUUAACUAUCAAUAUCAUCAUUUCUUCUCUCUCAACAAGAUCUUGUAUUAGUGGCGGGCCCACAAUAACCUAUUUCAUCUUUUUUUCUCUCCCAAAACAGAGUUCUUUCACCGGUUUUCAUCUCUCUAUCUCUUAUCUCCCUUUCUAGUUAAAAGAUCAACCAUAAAAACCACAAACAAAAUCUGAACAAAAAGAAAGCUAUAAUUUUUUUCUACUUGGAUGAAAAUAAAAGCGUGAAAAAUAUAACCAAAAAAAGAAAAACAAGAGAGAGAUAAUUGAUUAAAGAGGUGUACAGACCAGGAUCACGGACUGUUGCAUGAACCAUAUGGCCUUUCUCCAGGAGGGUCUUCACCAGCCAAGACCCUAUAAAACCAGUAGCUCCGGUAACACAGUAUGUUGCCAUAGCUCCCUUUCUUUUGCUCUCCACCGCAGGCUGCUAUAUAUACACACACACACACGCACAUAUACAUUGAAUUAAUCUUAGUAUUGGAUGUUGUAAUCAUGUGGCUAAUAUAAUAUCAUAUCCCUAAAUUAGUAUAAUAAUCAUGUAGCUAAAAUAAUAUAAUAUUGGAUGUUGUAAACGUGUAAUCAUGUAGCUAAUAUAAUCGACAAAGCCUGUGAGGAUAGUAAUUAAUAAAUAAAUUUUAAAUUUUUUGGGAGGCAAAUAUUUCCACGCCUGGUCUAUAUCAUAUUUAUGGAAAUUACACCAAUUACAAAUGUACUACUGUCGAGACCAGAAAUGGCGAGGAGACUAUUUUAAAGUGAAUUUUUUUAGAGAUUUUUUGUUACUUUCCAGUGUAACGUCAAUUUUUAUGCUAAUAUUAUAAAAUAUUAUUAAAAUUUUGAGAUAACAGAGAGUUCAUAAAGAAUCUUACUUUUAAGAAAGUUUCAUUAGCAACUCUCUUGUGGAGAUAUAAGAAUAAUGAGAGUGUUGUCAAUGCAUGCAUGGUUGCCAAAUGUUAAAUCAUCCAUGUGAUGUGAAUGGUACACGCUUCCAGAUUCAUACAAUUGUGAUAACAUAUAACCAAAAUGGAAAAGAAAAGUAUUUUACGUUAUCCAUAUUUAAUUUUGUCCAACAUAUGAUGCAGACUUGCGUGUGAUCAUUGAUCAACAAGAAGUCCGAACUUGGGACUUGUCUUUUUUUGUGUAUUUUUAGCGAAUAAUUUGUGGUGCGCAUCGUUUAUCAUCAAGUCUCGUGCUUGGAAGAUGAGAGAAAUGAAUGAGAAUGACUAUUAAUUCUAUUUUUUUUUAGUUUUGAGGGAUCGUCUUGAUUAAUAUUCAUCGGGAGAUGAAAGAAAUGGAUGAGAAAGACUAUUAAUUGUAUUUUUUAAAUUUCGAGGGAACAUCUUGAUUAAUAUUUUCGAAUUUUGUGCGAACGUCUAGAGCCGAUGUGAUUUGCACAUGCAAAGAGGUUACGGGAUCAUGGCCAAAGAAAUGGUUUUGUUUAGUCAAUGAAUUGCAAUAUUACGAACAAUUUAUUUAAUUGUUAUAGUUGAUUGAUUAAACGAUUUUCAUUUUAAUAAAAAUUUUGCUUAGAUGAUUUUUAUUGAGUGAGCUAUAAUAACACAUGAACAAUAUAACAUACAAUUUUUAUGAAUAGUACUUUGAAAUGACCACAUGGACGUUCUUUUCUUUUUAGAUGAUUGGAACUCAGUGAGAGGCUAGGUUAUCAUGCAUGUAGUUCAAAAACAAAAGAAGACUGAGGAAUAUAAUAUCGGAAAGGGAUCCACUUCGGAACCCUUUCCACCUAAUCCACUAAGUUUGUGAUCCAGACCGUUGAAAUUUGAUCCAAAGCUUAUAAAUAGGAGGUCUCUUUAAAAGUUAUAAUAAUUAUAACCGUUGGAUUAAAUUUCAACUACCCGAAUUCCGAACUUGAUGGAUUAGGUGGAUCCCUUUCCUAUAAUAUCAACCUCCGUCUUGGGAAAUAAAAAGUUAAAAUGAAGAUAGUCAAUCAAUACUUAAAAAUAAAAGUGAAGAUAAUUCUCCAAAAGCAAAUCAGAAAAAUGAUCCUUCUAAGCAAAUUUCUUUGAUAGAGUAUAUUCAAGAUGUCUCAUGAAGAAAAUAUUGUUUGCUUAAGAUCUCUACGAGCUGAUUGUACCAAUGUUCAAGUUUGGUUUAUUAUCGAACCGAACAUAGGCAAGUCGAGCUUCUACGAGUUGUACUCUAUGCAAGUUCAACUUGUUUCGUGCCAAUUUACAAAUUUCCGUUAUAACUUUCUCAUUUCUUAACAUCUUUAAGUGCUUCAAAAUCUCAAAAUGAAUUAUUUUGUGUAUGAAGAUAGUAAAAUUGGUUCGUCAUAUGAACACGAAUUCACAAUAUGCAAAGUUCGUGCUUUCAUACAUUUUAGGUUUUCAACAAUUUUUUCAAUUUGAUUCAAUCUUAAGACAAACAAGUUUAAGAGAAUUUCCAUGCACUUACUCCGAAUGUUAUGAAGUGAUAAGGGAAGAUAACUCACAAAAUUGAAGGUACGUUUGAAGGAAGAAAUAAAGGUCAAAUUCCAAAUUUUUUUUCAAAUUGAAGGAAUUGGAUGGAUAAGUUACGAACAAAACUUCUCUUCCAAACGUAAUCCAUCUUCUACCUUCAGCUACACUAAAUUUGGAAGUUACGUUCUUUCGACAACAUCGAAUCCGGUGAGUUAGCCAAUUCUACAAUCCUAAGCACCAAACGCAUAGUGUUGAAGAAAAAUCCCAUGCUCAGUAAAAUGCAAACUAAAUAAAAGAUAACUAGCAUGUUUUGGAGGACGACCAACAUUCUAAUUUCUCAUUCAACCAACGCAAAUAAACAAAAUUAUAUAACUCAGUUGUAAGUGCAAUACUGGAGAGCACAAGAAGUUAUUGAAUUAAUACAAACUUACAAAAUGAUAUUAAUACAUCUGGAGUUUCUAAGCUACAGCCGCGUUCAGGUAAGAAUUUGAUCCUUAUGCAGCAGUGACGGCUUCUUCAGUUUUCUUUUUUUCUUCCUUCAAUUUCUUCCAGUUCUCUGCAUUGUCUAUUAUUUCACCAGUUUUGAUGAGGUAGCGAACUCGUUGUCCAUUUUCCAGGAUUUUAUGACCCACCCGACUUGCUACAUUCUUUUCUUUCGAGAAAAGCAUCACAUUCGAGCUGUGUAUGGCUCCUUCUACCUGGAAUAUGAAGUUUAAAAUGUUUAUUUGUAAUCAAAUGAAACUAGCAAGCAAGGAAACAAAAGAACUAAUAAGUUGAUGAUUACAAAUUUUACAAGAAAAAGAACCUUAAGUAUCUGUCCUGGUUCACCCUCUUCCCUGCUCUUCAUAUGCUUUGUCUUCAAGUUUAUCUCCUUGACUAUCACGGUGCUGUUGUGCUUAAAGAUCUUUGUCACCUCUCCAGUUUUACCCUUGUCAUGUCCAGAUAUGACUUUCACUGUGUCCCCAACCUUAACAUGCAUUUUGUGUAAAACUGGAAGGCUGUUUGGCUUGCAUUCCUUCCGCUCCCAUCUUUUGAGCUGCCAGAGGACGAAAAGAGCAAUAUUUCAGGAGGUGAACAGCCCUAAUGUGCUACAUCAUAUCCCAUUUAGCAAAAUAGUGUUUUAAAAAGAAAAAGAUACUAAAUUAUGUAAACCAGACAUUGAAAUAACGUUUUCUUGGUUUAGCCAGGAAAUCAAGAUAAAAGACUCUCCACCCCAAUCGUGAAUAAGUUGCAAUCAAAUGCCUUCUUUGUGACUAUUGUAAGUCCCACUUAGUGGUGCAUGUCCGCGGAAAUUAUGAGUCAAAUUACAUGCUCAAAGAUUGCUUUCAUAUUAUUCUAGUAAGUUAGCAAUUCCACCAUACAUGCAUCAGAUUUUGAUUGUAUACAACAGAAAAAACUUAUUGACAAAAAUAAAGAAAAGAUAGAUAGGACUUAUGAUACUGACCUUCACUACAAUGAGACAAGGCUUUGCUGUUAAUUUGGGCUGCACAUGAAACAAGCAGAUAAAUUGUUACGAAAUGAUUCUCCUUUUUCCUCCCAGUGAUCAGAGUAAUUCAAACUCAAAGCUACAAUGUGAAUGGUAUAAAAACCAUUCCCAUUACCUUGACGGUAUAAAAUUUUGUUUCUUUGAGAUGACAAGAAAGAACAAAACAUAAGAGAAAACCCAUGCAGAAAUAUGGCCUUGAAAAACAUAUCAGAUUCUUUUUAAGAAACUUACUAGUAAAAUUCAACAUGACACGUUUGGUGAAUCCCAUCUCCUGAAGGCGUUAACUCAAAAAAUAUGAAAAGAAAUGAAAUAAUUCUAAUAGAAUGAACCGAUAUGUGUGUCACGAUCAGUAUGUAGGAUACAGAAAGCCUGUUCAUGACUAUGUAAACUGAAAGCUCACUCCAGCUAAACAUUAUGUCAACGAAGUAUAAAGCAUAAACAUUGUCAUCCACUAAUAUAGGGCCACUUAUAAACCCGGAAAACCAAAUCUUUGAUUAGGGAAGUAUAAAGCUCACUCUUACCGGAAACCUUCGUCAACCACUAAAACCUCUCAGUCAAUUCCUGCAUCUGGUUUUAUUCACUUUCAACGAAAUAAUUCAACUUUACAAUACCCACUUGGAGAAUUUUGAACAGAGAAUCCAACACUGUCAGAACCGUAACCAGAGAUGCAGUUUCUUCAAAAUUGUACAUAAACACAUUAAAAAUUAUCCAUUUCCUUUUCAUUUCUCAUAUUCUUAGAAACCCAACUUUUACAUAUUAACAAAGGAAUUCAAUUUCACAAAGAAAAGUAAAAUCACAUCAAUCUGCAGAAACCACUGGAACAAAGAGAGAGUGUUCAUUUUAGGCAAGACCCACUUCAGUGCUACAAGCAAAGAACUGAAAUGCAGCAAAAUACUAAUACAUGUGUAAAUAUAUAUGUACAUGUAUAUAUCAUUAUAUUUGACAUAAGAAUUGGAGGAGAAAAGGAAAGCGUACCGGGACAGAGUACAGGGUUGGGGGAAAGAGGCGUUGGCCGAGGAAGGAGUUAGAGGAGAGAGAAAGAGAGGUCAUGGAGCUCUGAAGUGCAGCCAUGGCUGCCAUUUUCUCGUUGCUUGGCUCUGAAUGUGACAGAAAUGGAUAAUACAGAGAAGCAGUAGCUUAAGAGAGAGAGAGAGAGUAGCAGGUCUUUGUACUCAAAGAUGGGCUUCGAGAUGGGCUGACAUUAGCAUAAGCUAAAGCCCAGCCCAAAUCGUAUGAUGGGACUAGUGUCUUGACUGCUGUUUGGUUACGACUCUGAUUGGAUUCGAAAACGUCGUUUCGUCUUUAAGAUUGGAUUUGAAUAGAUGACAUUAAUUUCAUUUUGGAAAACCAAGUGCUUUUGGAAACCAAAUAUAUUUUCUCUAAAAACACUUUCAGUCAUUCAAAAGCACUUUUCGAACUAAGACAGAAAAUGGGGAGUGCAAGAUCAUUUCCCUAUCACAGCACGAUCAUUGGUUGCUCGAUGCAGAGAGCACAGCAUUGCAUUGGUGAUGUUCCCUACCUUGUUUUUUUUGUUGGUGAAAGGUUUGCUUCCAAUGUAAGACGCAAAAGUUGUAAAUUAUGCAACACUGCAAAUAAUUGGGAAAUAAGUUCAAAAGGGGGUCAACUUUUCCUUCAUCUCCAUUGCUAAAUAUGGUAUAUAAAUCUAGAAAUCUGUCAUCUGAGCAAAACAGGGAGGAAGAAUGAGAAAACGAUAUGUUACAUGGUCGAAUAUUUAACCGAAAAUCCUGUGUCACUCGACCAGAAAUCUUAACUACUCGAAAUCCACUAAUUCUAGCCCACAGACUGCACAUGUAUCAAAAAAAGCAAAGUCGAAAACCCAAGAAAUAAGAAAGAAAAAACGAAAAAAUGGGGAAGCCACCGUCUAUACUUCAUAGGUAUCGGCUAGGCUGUCUACAGACUCUUCUCUUUGGUGUUCGGCCAUUUGGAUUCUGGUUUCUGGUUGGUUCGUGUCAGUUGUGCCUUCAUCUGUUACCGCUGACAAGGAUUUCGUGUGAUUCUUGUUGUGCCUCAUUUUGAGCAUCCGUGAUAGCACUUGUACAAUGUCUCUCAUGGCAGGCCGUUUCUUUGGGGUACGGUUGACACAUUUAUAUGCCAGAGCUGCCACUUCGUUAAGCUCUUGCACAUGGAAAGUCCCAUUAAGACGUGAAUCCACAAUUUCUUCCCACCCAAGUUUCCCCUCUGUAUUCAUCGCUGCCUAUUUUUCAACCAGAAAUAUCAUUAGAUGUGCAAAAUAAACAGCAUUAUUGGGAUAUAAGUGGAAGAGUGCAUCUGCAAAAAGAAAAAGUAAAUGAUAGACUUCCCUUUCAUUUUUCUUCUAAGGCUGGAGCGAGGAAAAAGUGAGAGCAAACACACAGACAAACAAACACAUCGUAUCCGUUUUCAUGUACUCUACUAUUUUCCUAGGUUAUCCAUAUUAUCACAGGGUCAAAUUACUUCAAUAUUGGAAUUCCAUAUGUUCCUGUUUCUUCUAGAUAACCUCUGUGUGUGAGUGUGCAUGAGACGUGCGCAUAUGCAGUGUGUGUGUACGUGUGUGUGUGUGUGUGUGUGUGUGUGUGUGAGAGAGAGAGAGAGAGAGAGAGAUCUUACAAGUUCAACAUAUUCCAUUAAACCCUGUUGAGGAUUCCUUGCAGCAACGAGCUCAAAGAGCAGAACUCCGUAGCUGUAAACGUCACUUUUCUUGGUGAAGUUCCUCGUAGAUAUAUAUUCAGGAUCAAGAUAACCAAAA
This 10141-nucleotide long non-coding RNA is filed under the name Malus domestica (apple). Its description in RNAcentral is "long non-coding RNA (MDOM_LNC010812)". The record is from RNAcentral. Lineage: Eukaryota; Viridiplantae; Streptophyta; Magnoliopsida; Rosales; Rosaceae.